AUGUUUGCAGUACAUCGCCUUAGAGCAUAUGCUGUAUUUGAUUUUAUUAUUCUUCUCAGGGCCAAACCUAGGCCAAGCAAGAAAGCCCGCCUGGACAACGCGGCCGAAGAAGAUGUCGUUCUUGAAGCAGACAAGACACCCAAUGCUGAAGCGGCUAUUCCUGAGGAUAUUCCCAACGAUCCACCGCAGCCAGAUGAUGAUCUUAUUGCUGAAGAGAGACCUACUGAUACCUCAGGUCCUAUCCAUCAGCCCACAGGUUCCAUCCGGAUUGAAAGCUCCACCGGUCCAGCAAAACCUAGUGACAAGCCAACAGCUCCAGUGCAAACCGGCGGUACCAAGGAUGAUGAGGUUGUCAUUACUGGCACUGGCCAUACUGAGCCAAGCAAUCGUGUCGCUUUAUCCAAACAUUCUGCCAAGGAAGAAUUUGCUGCUUUUGGCAAAGGCAAGUGGAACGCUGAUCUGACAACUUACGCUGCUCUGAACGCCCAAGAUAUCCAUUCCAGCUAUCUGAACCGGCUGUAUACCAGCCGUGACUAUGAAGCCGGUCUGGUUAAUAUGAUGAAAGAUAAAUAUGAGGUAACUUCCAUAUGCUCCUUCCUGCUUGUAUGCUUCCAUUCUUGCUGA
RNAcentral lists this ribosomal RNA (624 nucleotides) under Triticum aestivum (bread wheat). RNAcentral describes it as "partial small subunit ribosomal RNA". The record is from RNAcentral. Lineage: Eukaryota; Viridiplantae; Streptophyta; Magnoliopsida; Poales; Poaceae.